GGGGUUGAGGCUCAGUGGCAGAGCACUUACCUAGCAUGUGUGAGGCACUAGGUUCGAUACUUAGCACCACA
This 71-nucleotide transfer RNA is filed under the name Marmota monax (woodchuck). RNAcentral describes it as "tRNA.Ala". The record is from RNAcentral. Lineage: Eukaryota; Metazoa; Chordata; Mammalia; Rodentia; Sciuridae.